This 253-nucleotide ribosomal RNA is filed under the name uncultured bacterium. RNAcentral's name for it is "partial 16S ribosomal RNA". It matches the Rfam family "Bacterial small subunit ribosomal RNA", at positions 524 to 776 of the family's 1533-position model. The record is from RNAcentral.
UACGAAGGGGGCUAGCGUUGUUCGGAAUUACUGGGCGUAAAGCGCGCGCAGGCGGUUCUCCAAGUCAGUGGUGAAAGCCCGGAGCUCAACUCCGGAACUGCCAUUGAAACUGCUGAACUUGAGGACGAGAGAGGUGAGUGGAAUUCCCAGUGUAGAGGUGAAAUUCGUAGAUAUUCGGAAGAACACCAGUGGCGAAGGCGACUUACUGGACACAUAUUGACGCUGAGGUGCGAAAGCGUGGGGAGCAAACAGG